Molecule: non-coding RNA, 19 nt
Filed under: Mus musculus (house mouse)
Lineage: Eukaryota; Metazoa; Chordata; Mammalia; Rodentia; Muridae
Source: RNAcentral
UGAGGUCUUGAGUUCCUUG